Molecule: ribosomal RNA, 697 nt
Filed under: Microbacterium aerolatum
Lineage: Bacteria; Bacillati; Actinomycetota; Actinomycetes; Micrococcales; Microbacteriaceae
Description: bacterial SSU rRNA
Rfam family: Bacterial small subunit ribosomal RNA
Source: RNAcentral
GAUGAACGCUGGCGGCGUGCUUAACACAUGCAAGUCGAACGGUGAACACGGAGCUUGCUCUGUGGGAUCAGUGGCGAACGGGUGAGUAACACGUGAGCAACCUGCCCCUGACUCUGGGAUAAGCGCUGGAAACGGCGUCUAAUACUGGAUACGAGUAGCGAUCGCAUGGUCAGCUACUGGAAAGAUUUUUUGGUUGGGGAUGGGCUCGCGGCCUAUCAGCUUGUUGGUGAGGUAAUGGCUCACCAAGGCGUCGACGGGUAGCCGGCCUGAGAGGGUGACCGGCCACACUGGGACUGAGACACGGCCCAGACUCCUACGGGAGGCAGCAGUGGGGAAUAUUGCACAAUGGGCGGAAGCCUGAUGCAGCAACGCCGCGUGAGGGAUGACGGCCUUCGGGUUGUAAACCUCUUUUAGCAGGGAAGAAGCGAAAGUGACGGUACCUGCAGAAAAAGCGCCGGCUAACUACGUGCCAGCAGCCGCGGUAAUACGUAGGGCGCAAGCGUUAUCCGGAAUUAUUGGGCGUAAAGAGCUCGUAGGCGGUUUGUCGCGUCUGCUGUGAAAUCCCGAGGCUCAACCUCGGGCCUGCAGUGGGUACGGGCAGACUAGAGUGCGGUAGGGGAGAUUGGAAUUCCUGGUGUAGCGGUGGAAUGCGCAGAUAUCAGGAGGAACACCGAUGGCGAAGGCAGAUCUCUGGGCC